UGAGCAAAUUCAAUAUUAUAAGGUUGCCA
Molecule: non-coding RNA, 29 nt
Filed under: Homo sapiens (human)
Lineage: Eukaryota; Metazoa; Chordata; Mammalia; Primates; Hominidae
Source: RNAcentral